GACGAACGCUGGCGGCGUGCUUAACACAUGCAAGUCGAACGGAAAGGCCCUGCUUUUGUGUGGUGCUCGAGUGGCGAACGGGUGAGUAACACGUGAGUAACCUGCCCUUGACUUUGGGAUAACUGCAGGAAACUGGGGCUAAUACCGGAUAGGAGCUCCUGCUGCAUGGUGGGGGUUGGAAAGUUUCGGCGGUUGGGGAUGGACUCGCGGCUUAUCAGCUUGUUGGUGGGGUAGUGGCUUACCAAGGCUUUGACGGGUAGCCGGCCUGAGAGGGUGAACGGCCACAUUGGGACUGAGAUACGGCCCAGACUCCUACGGGAGGCAGCAGUGGGGAAUAUUGCACAAUGGGCGGAAGCCUGAUGAAGAAACGCCGCGUGCGGGAUGAAGGCCUUCGGGUUGUAAACCGCAUUAGCCUGUGACGAAGCGUGAGUGACGGUAAUGGGUAAAGAAGCACCGGCUAACUACGUG
RNAcentral lists this ribosomal RNA (468 nucleotides) under uncultured bacterium. RNAcentral's name for it is "partial 16S ribosomal RNA". It matches the Rfam family "Bacterial small subunit ribosomal RNA", at positions 28 to 507 of the family's 1533-position model. The record is from RNAcentral.